Molecule: long non-coding RNA, 7368 nt
Filed under: Fragaria vesca (wild strawberry)
Lineage: Eukaryota; Viridiplantae; Streptophyta; Magnoliopsida; Rosales; Rosaceae
Description: long non-coding RNA (FVES_LNC001175)
Source: RNAcentral
CCGCUUCGGCUUCUUAUUUGUAGGCCAUUUUUCUCGGAGCAAAUUACAGCUGCUUGAACAUGAGAUUCAUCAAAAGGAGUUAUGAUGGCCUCUGGUUUUGGUGUGGAAUUGUUCGAGAAUCUGAGGUUCUGUAUGGAAGAAUCUAACACUGAAGGAUAAGCUGAACUGGUUCUGGUGAGAAUGAUUUCAUUACUGGAGUUAGAGUUCUGAAUGUGGGAGGAAAGGCAUUGCACAAAGCUUUCAGAAAUGGAGCUUGAAGCUAUGGACCAAGCUGAGUUGAGAAGGAUGAAAAGUAGGGGAAAUAGCUUUGCAUGAGAGGUCUCCAUAUUCAUUUCCUCAGCAUAAAAGAUGUGAAAUGCUCUGAGCUUUACUAACAUACAUAUAUGUGUGUAAGUCGUCUGUUGAUGUGAAACCGUAGGUUCCGCUUUCUAGCACUUUUUUAGUAUUAGUGGGGUAAGUCAUCUAUUGUUGUUUUGUCCAUUUCUAAAUUGAUAUGAACGAGUCUCCAACAAUAAUUCUGAAAACCUAAAAUUCAAGCAAUGCAGCUCCAAUUAAGCAGAUCGAUAUCUGAAAACCUAUAGUUCAAACAAUGCAGCUCUAAUUAAGCACAUCGAUUUCUGAAAACCUAAUUAGUUAAGCACGCCGAUAUUGCAUGUUUCUACAACCUUGAAAUGUUUUUUUUUUUUUCAUCAAAACUUUGUUGGAUAUAAAUUUCAUAUUGGAAAUAUAUAACUUUCCCUAUGGGGUUAUAAGAGUUUAUGUCACUUCAUCUACUGUCAAUUGGUUUUGAAUAUGAACCUCAUACUACUUCAUCACAAUAUUAGAGCAGAUUACGCACGUCUAUGUGUGAAUGCGUAACGGCCACACAGACUUCACGUCCACGUGUGCGGAGGCGUGUUAAGAUACAAAUCCUAUAUUAGAAAUAUGAGACCUUGUUUACGGGUUACUACUUUAUCAAACUUGUGGAACUAUGAUCGACACACGAUUUUUUUGGCAAAAAUAUCACACUCCACCCAUAAUCACGAUAAUUUCAUCAUAUAAGAACACUAGCUAGUGCAAUUUUAGAGGUGUGUCAUGUAAUUAGGGCCACCAGUUUGAGUGACACACAUUCGAAUAAUACUGAGUGGAUGGUUAAUCAUUGGAAACCACAGGUCCAACUGAGAUAUGUAAAUAAGGCAUGCACGCCAAGUUAGAAGAAAUCUAUCUGCAGGGUGGUGUCAUAUUAGCUCGAACACAUAUUUGGAGUAGAGACAACAACUAGUUUCUAGAUUUCUGGUAUAGUUUGGUACUAGUCUUUGUCCUACGCGUUGCUGCGAUUGAUUUUCGUGUUUAGUUAGUACUGGUGAUGAUUAAAAAUAGGAUCAUAUAUCUAGAAAUUACGCACACUAUUUGCUGCAGGUGGGUUUCAGAAUGUACGUAAAAACAUGAACCCUGUAAUGAAAUGGCGUCGCAUUGUUCAAUCUCAUAUUCACUAUGUAUUGCAUAUAUUACUGAAACCAACAAUUUUACUUUUAAAAAAAAUAUGGAAUCAAUAACAAAGCCCUUUCUUAUGUCAUUUUUCGGUGAAACAAUUAUACAUUUCUAUGGUUCAUGAUAUUGGUCCUUGGCUUGGAGUUGAUUGACCGUGCCAAUUGAUUUGGGGAUUCAACACACUUGUCUGGAAGAGCAUACACCCAAUAGUGUUCUUUGCACAAUUGCUCCCAAAUUUGUAAUCUCUGCGUUGCAUAACUUUCUGCUAGUCAAGCUAAUGAUAAACAACAACAACACUACAACAUGAAUGCUAAAAAUAAUAGAGAAGCAUUGCAUGAUUAUCGCAAGACCUAAAUAUUAGAAUUAUGACCACAUGACAUUGAAUAAUACCACACUAAGAGAGAAAAUGGUAAAAUGGUAUGAUCUGUAUAUAAUUACAUAUACAAUAUUAAGAGCAGAAUCAUAUAAGAAUGAAUAAAAAAAAAAUUAUGACCCAUUCUUCUUCAAGUAGACAUCCAUAUCUAUUUGUCUGCCACCAAACAAUGAAUUUUGUUUGUUUGUUUAUUACACCACAAAUAUUAAACAUGACAAAUUUUUCUAUCAUUUUGCUGUUAGUAAUGGUAUGUGAAGGAUUUAGAUUGUAUAUUUAUCUGCAAUAGCUUAAUGUUCUUUUUGCGAAAUUGUUCAAAAACGUUAACUUUAGUACAGAACUGAUAUGUAUGUAGAGAUCAUUACAACCAUGCAUGUUAACUAUUAAAUUGAAUCUCAUAACCUAUAUGCAUUAAAGAUUAAGCUAUGUGUUUGUAUAAAUUUAAAAGUUUCUAAACACAAUAUGCAAAUAAGACUCCAUGUUUAAGCUGAUGGUUUCAAUACCCACAAAUAGAAGAACUGAUUUCAAUACCCAAAAAAAGAAGAAGAAAGAAAUCAAUGUUCAUCAAUUUACAGAUGAAUAAGAACCUUUAUAGGGAGGCUAUAUAUUCUUCUUCUCAUAAUAAAAGCUGAUUUCCCCAGGCUAUGUUAUACUAAAUCCCAAAUCAGCUUAUCACCAAUUGCUUUGAACCAUGAAAUAUAAAGUCUUCCAACUCUGGACGAAGGCGUAAACUUAGAGAAGGAAUCGAUGACACGAUCAUUUCAAAACCACAAAAACAAAAUCAGACUGAGAGCAGAGAGCAUGCAGAAAAAGAAUCAGUAGAAACAAUGGACAAAACUCAAAAAAGAAAAGAACGCGCAACAUGGCCAUACUGUUUGAGCCCAGUGGGUAUUUUUGGUCCAAGACUCAGGGUACGUUUUGGAUAACAUUUGGGCCUUUACCUGUGGCCCUUUUUUUAAUGCGAAGCCCACGAAGGGUGGCGAAGUCUGGCAACACGCGAGUUGGAAUUGUGUAAGGAUUCUGAUACCUCGCGGGAUUCGAUGUCCUCGCGGGAUCCUUUGUUCUAGUUCGUGUAGGAUUCUACAGUGCAUGGCGAGGUAGAGUUGGAAAUGGACUGUAGUACCCGCGGGAUAGGAUCGCUUAGUGCUCGAGUUCGCGUACGACGCUACAGUGAUAUGAUGCGGGGCGGUGAGCGAGACCUAGGCGAAGUCUGUUUUGGACACGUGUUGCAUGGAUCGCGCGGCUCGCGAGCUGGUCGUUUCCUGGUGGAAUUCUAAUUGCUGAGUCCGAAUGGAUUUGUGAUUAGGUCUCUGCGAAUUGUUUGCGGAUCGCUAUAUAAGGGAGCUUGACACAACGAACAAGACACACAAUCAAUCAUACAAAACAACUGCAAAUCUUCGAGCAUCCUCGAAACCCUAAGUUCUAAAUGCACCUCGCCUUAGAUCUCAGAGCCCGUCUGGACUCGCCUCUCUUUCCCAAUUGUUGCUUUGCUCGCUUCGAACAGUGAGUAUCGAUUCACAGGUGACUAGAUAGUUUGCUCGUAAUUCCUCGCCCGCGAGGUGACACUGGAGCUCUACUUCGCCUGAUUAGAAGUCAAGAACGCGCACCAUUCUCGUUCCGCGUCCGCGCGGUGGCAUGCCCUGCAAACCCUAAUUUACUUUUGGUAGCACAAGUUACCUUUCUACCCCUGCUGAGGAUCGUGGCCAAAACACAUACAACAACAACAACCAAGAACAUCUGGCAAGUGGUGGCGGCAAUAUAAAGUAAAUAAAAAUAAAAUAGGGGCAAAACCGUAAAAACACACGGUCUCUAGGGCAGUAUAUAGUAAAUACUGCUCAAGUGCUCAGCUUUUGAACCCAAUUAUUUUAACAAUUCAUUUUUUUUUUAAUAUUUUUUUUUUAUGCUGUUCGUGUUCGUCGGAGGAUGAGGAUCCACUACUCACUUUCAAGUAAAUGAAAUAGCAUUCUACCUAGCUAGCUAGGUUUGUUGUCAUCUGUUGUUCGCUCUGAUGAUAAGUCUAUCUUUUAUGUUUAAAACAGUCGCAAGAUAAGUACUUUAAUGGAAGCCUUUUUAUAUAUGAUCUCAGGAAGAAGAUAGGUAUUGAUGAUUUCAUGCAUACAUACUCAUUCGAAGAGAAAACACUGCCUUAAGAACUAGUGGAUAUCUGGAUAUAUAGAGUAGAGAGGCACCCUUGUGAAUCUUCGCGAUCGUUAGACAAUAAAUAUGAUGAGGAUUUACAAAAAAAACAUCUUUAAAUAGCUCAUUUCCCUUUCAUAUAGUGGUAUAGUCUUUUCUUCAUAAAUAUGAAAUGAGGUGAUACAAACUUGACGUGAUUAUCUUAAAAAUCAAUUUAACUCUCAAAUAUUAUAUUUAGUUCUGUGUAAUACAUCAAAUAUAUCAUGAGAAAUUGUUAGGUAAUUUAUAAUUGGAGCAAAUUUAUUUAAAGUCACCAAGUUUUUGCAUAUAUAGGUUUGUUCUUUUUAAACAAAUUAAUUAGGAUCAAUGUCCACUAACCAUUUUUUUGAGACAUCAAAUGUUCUUUAGGGCUCCAAAAGAGCUAGAAUUAAAGCCCAACCUGUCUAUCUCGUUGACCCAAUCCCAUUUUGCUGACAUUGUUCAUCUUUGACAACGAACAUUUCGUUCUCUCUCUAGAGACUUCAUGGAAAUAUUAGGGAGGAGGUGUGGAUAGCAUCUUGUUUAUUAGUAAAAGUAAGAUAAAUGUCUAAUUAAGUAAGGAGGUUCAAGUGUCAAACUACCAAUUUUGACGAAAUGAAUGAAAACUUCAUAAAUUAAAUGAGAAAAUAAAAUUACUGAUAAAGAUUAAAGAGAUAUUAAAUGAGAAAUUUGCUGUAAACAUAUAUAACUACUUCGGAUCAUAUCAAUCAUAACAAGGCAACAAUGUAUCAAGAUGGUGCAAUCGUACUAAUCCAUACUUUAGUUCUUGAUUCAUAUUUCAUGCUAGUUUCAUUCUAAAAAUAACGUAUUUAUGAUUAUUUAGAAAUUUCUAGAUUAGUUAUCUUCAUUAUCUCAACAAAAUGAAUAAGUCACGGUGUAUGCUGCAUAUGACAUUAUAUAUGAGUUGAUCAUAAAAACAAUACAUGCAACACAUUAUUUCCUUGAUCAUGUUAAUGCAAAUACACAUGAUAAAGAUGCAUAUGUACAAUAUACAAUGAUAGGUUCCGUUACUUAGUUGGUUAAGAUGUUUAAUUAACAACUUUGAUGUCAUGAGUUUAAAACCCACUAACAUAUGUAUGGGGUAUGAGUUAUUAACAAAAAUUAAAAAAAGAAAAUCAAGGUUCCCGUCCAGCCCUCCUCAGCUCUCUUCACAUAAAAAUAAAUAGUAAAUACAUAUAGUUGGAACAAUAAAUUAAAGCAACGAGAUCUUUGCCCAAAUGACAAGUUGAUUCACUUUCAGGCCUUCAAAACUUGAGAAUGGCAACUCUAGGUUUCAUUAUUAUUAGAAUUAAAUUCAGUUUACCCCCUUGUGGUUUGGGGGUGACUUCAUGUUAGUCCCUACACUUUUAUUUUCAUCAGUUUACCCCUUGAACUCUUCAAUUUCUGUCUGCCGUGUCCAAAUUCUCAUAUUCCGUUUGAAUUGACUUUUAAUUAUCAACAGUUAAGGUCCGAUUUGGACAUAUAAGGUCUGAUUUGCCUAAAUUCUAGAUAAUGACCUCACAGUUAAGGUUAAAAUUAUCAGCAGUUAACGUCCGAUUUAGACAGAAUAUAGGACAUUUGGUCACGCUUAAGGAAAGUUCUAAAGUUUGAGGGGUAAACUGAUGAAAUUGAAAGUAUAAGGAUUAACAUGAAGUUACUCUCAAACCUCAUGGGGUAAACUGAAUUUAAUUCUUAUUAUUAAUUUUGAAUGAGAAAUUAAGUCCAAUACAUCUCUUUAUUGUUUGUUACUUUAUUUUGGAACCUAAGCCCAUUUGUUGGUUGACAUUCUACUUUCUAUCUGAUGAAAACACUGGGAUGCUUUGCUCAUUCCUAAAGAAGUUGCCAGGAUCAACCAAGGUCUUAACAUGAACAAGUUUCCUGAAGUUGUUCUUGAAGUACUUCAAACCCCAGAUGCUUGCUUGUGCAUAGCUUGUAUUGCCAUUAUUGUUCCUCCCCAAAUCAAGAUCCCUAUAAUUCAGAUAGGCAGCUCUAGGAGACUUUGAAACAUACGGUGCCAUGUAUGCAUACAACCUUCUCAUAAAUCCAACAUACUUCUCAGUAUCCUUUCCAUCAUCCCAAACAACCAUAUACUGGAUUUCAUAUAUGUUUCCUCGUCGAUGUGGGAAAGCAGUUUCUGAAUCGGCAAUCUCACUCAUUUUUCCUCCAUAUGGUGUCAAUAUCAUGAAGGAUGUGUUUGCUUCAACCAACCUCUGCCAUAAGCCUUCCAAGCCAGCUUCUGAGAUUGGCUCAGUCACAUAGUCUGAUUUUGCUUUGAAGAUAAUGCUGAAUUGCCGGCGCUUCAGCAAAAUCUCUAAGGAUUCGUGUAUCGAGUAGCCAGCAAAGUCUAAAACAGACUGAAUCCAACUCAUCUCGGUGCAAUGGCUUCUUCCUAAACUCAACUCUGGGAAGUUGUCCUGCAUCAAAUGGAAAAGUUUCUCAACCGGGCCAAGAAACAAGGAACCGAAUUCAACUAUAAUAGUCUUGUCACCACUUCUUAUAACUAGACGUAUGAAAAGUUCUUCAGGAAGCUUGUCUGCAAUGUUUUGCCAUUUCAAAAGAAGUUUGGUUGCGUCUUGUUCUUUUGUCUUUGUAAUGUGGCAAACUGUUACAGCAGGGGGAACAGGAACCAGUCUAAGUUUCCAUGCUAGAAUGACUCCAAAGCUUGAUCCACCUCCUCCUCUGAUAGCCCAAAAGAGCUCUUCUCCCAUGGACUUUCUAUCUAGAAUUCUGCCAUUAACAUCUACAAUUCUGGCAUCAAUGACAUUGUCAGAUGCUAGACCAUAUUUUCGGAAUAUGGUUCCAAUUCCACCUCCACUGAUAUCGUCCCCCAACACCAACGGUGGGACAAAUCCCUGCUGGAAAGCCAUAGACUUUACUCUUCUGUGCAAUGCUGUAAUACACCUCUCCAAGAGUAGCACCUGAUUUGACCCAAGCACUCUCAUUCUCUAUGUCAACAUCGAUGGAACGAAGAUUGAACAGAUCAAUGAUGAUGAAAGGAGCUCUGGACACAUAAGAUAGGCCCUCGUAAUCGUGCCCCCCGCUUCGUGUUCUUAUUUGUAAUCCAUUUUUCUUGGAGCAAAUUACAGCUGCUUGAACAUGAGAUUCAUCAAAAGGAGUUAUGAUGGCCUCUGGUUUUGGUGUGGAAUUGUUCGAGAAUCUGAGGUUCUGUAUGGAAGAAUCUAACACUGAAGGAUAAGCUGAACUGGUUCUGGUGAGAAUGAUUUCAUUACUGGAGUUAGAGUUCUGAAUGUGGGAGGAAAGGCAUUGAACAAAGCUUUCAGAAAUGGAGCUUGAAGCUAUGGACCAAGCUGAGUUGAGAAGGAUGAAAAGUAGGGGAAAUAGCUUUGCAUGAGAGGUCUCCAUAUUCAUUUCCU